UACGUAGGGUGCGAGCGUUGUCCGGAAUUACUGGGCGUAAAGGGCUCGUAGGUGGUUUGUCGCGUCGUCUGUGAAAUUCCGGGGCUUAACUCCGGGCGUGCAGGCGAUACGGGCAUAACUUGAGUACUGUAGGGGUAACUGGAAUUCCUGGUGUAGCGGUGAAAUGCGCAGAUAUCAGGAGAAACACCGAUGGCGAAGGCAGGUUACUGGGCAGUUACUGACGCUGAGGAGCGAAAGCAUGGGUAGCGAACAGGGAUUAGAUACCCUGGUAGUCCAUGCCGUAAACGGUGGGCGCUAGGUGUGAGGGUCUUUUCACGACUUUCGUGCCGUAGCUAACGCAUUAAGCGCCCCGCCUGGGGAGUACGGCCGCAAGGCUAAAAC
RNAcentral lists this ribosomal RNA (381 nucleotides) under uncultured bacterium. Its description in RNAcentral is "bacterial SSU rRNA". It matches the Rfam family "Bacterial small subunit ribosomal RNA", at positions 524 to 900 of the family's 1533-position model. The record is from RNAcentral.